UAGUGAGUGGUGAAGCCAAGAUUGGAACCCAGGCAAUCCAGCUUGGAAGGACAAAGGAUGGGGUCUCUGAAACAUCUCCAGCCUCAGCCCUGCUCCUGGCCUUCUCUCUCAUCCAGACAUGGCUGCAGCCUCUGGGCUGGGACUGGCCUCCCUACCUCCCCUUCAAUCCAGUGCUUCCCUGCUGCCAGAAGGAGCUUUCCAGAAAGCACAUGUCACCACAGCCCUCUCUUGCUGGAACCCAACCUCUACAGGAGACCAAGCUGCCUCCUACAGACCACAGGACCUCCAAGACUCACCAUCGCCACCUCUUGUUAUUCCUGCCCUGACUUUCCUAUCACCACCAUCAAAGGAGAGUCCCCCAGAGAUUACAUCUCAUGGCCCGGGCUUGCGGAGUGCUGGGCUCCCAGACAAAUGCAAUCAAAGGAGACAUGUCUCCUGGGAAGAGCCUCCCACAACCUCAAAGGUGAGUCAGGUAGGAAAAUAGAUGAUGUGAGCCUGGGGGCCGGUGAAGAAUAUGGAGGCCCGGGUUCCAGUUUCAGAGCAGG
Homo sapiens (human) is the source of this 545-nucleotide long non-coding RNA. RefSeq lists it as uncharacterized. The record is from RefSeq and is a predicted model, not a curated record. The transcript has 3 exons. NCBI's taxonomy places the organism in Eukaryota, Metazoa, Chordata, Mammalia, Primates, Hominidae.